GACGAACGCUGGCGGCGUGCUUAACACAUGCAAGUCGAACGGAAAGGCCCUGCUUUUGUGGGGUGCUCGAGUGGUGAACGGGUGAGUAACACGUGAGUAGCCUGCCCUUGACUUUGGGAUAACUUCAGGAAACUGGGGCUAAUACCGGAUAGGAGCUCCUGCUGCAUGGUGGGGGUUGGAAAGUUUCGGCGGUUGGGGAUGGACUCGCGGCUUAUCAGCUUGUUGGUGGGGUAGUUGCUUACCAAGGCUUUGACGGGUAGCCGGCCUGAGAGGGUGACCGGCCACAUUGGGACUGAGAUACGGCCCAGACUCGUACGGGAGGCAGCAGUGGGGAAUAUUGCACAAUGGGCGGAAGCCUGAUGCAGCAACGCCGCGUGCGGGAUGACGGCCUUCGGGUUGUAAACCGCUUUCGCCUGUGACGAAGCGUGAGUGACGGUAAUGGGUAAAGAAGCACCGGCUAACUACGUG
RNAcentral lists this ribosomal RNA (468 nucleotides) under uncultured bacterium. Its description in RNAcentral is "partial 16S ribosomal RNA". It matches the Rfam family "Bacterial small subunit ribosomal RNA", at positions 28 to 507 of the family's 1533-position model. The record is from RNAcentral.